RNAcentral lists this long non-coding RNA (380 nucleotides) under Mytilus galloprovincialis (Mediterranean mussel). The record is from RNAcentral. Lineage: Eukaryota; Metazoa; Mollusca; Bivalvia; Mytilida; Mytilidae.
CGAUGGUAUACAUUCAUUUUAACACAAUAAGUAUACCUAUAGCAGAGUGAGCCAAGGCUCCGUGUUGCAGACCGUACAUUGACCUAUAAUAGUUUACUUUUAUAAAAUACAACUUGGAAUGAGAGUUUUCUCAUUGGCACUCAUACCACAUCAUCUUAAAUCUAUUGCAUAUUUUGAAAAUCAUUCUGAAAAUUUUAACAAAUGCAAAUCGUACAAGUGCAGCUAAAAAUAUAUAAGAUAUUCAUUGUAAUAAACAUGCAUGUUUGUGUAUAAAUAUUUAGUAUUUAUAUCUGUUUCAGAACUUGGGUGUAACAUUCCAGCUGUUUGCCCCGUCACUCACAAGGGCCAAAUCAGAUGUACAGGCUGCGAACCUUCCGACA